AAGGACUUAAGUUAAAUAAACUAAUAACCUUCAAAGUUACAAUUAAAAGUUAAUCUUUUAGGCCUUA
RNAcentral lists this transfer RNA (67 nucleotides) under Gesonula punctifrons. RNAcentral describes it as "tRNA-Trp". The record is from RNAcentral. Lineage: Eukaryota; Metazoa; Arthropoda; Insecta; Orthoptera; Acrididae.